This 253-nucleotide ribosomal RNA is filed under the name uncultured bacterium. RNAcentral describes it as "partial 16S ribosomal RNA". It matches the Rfam family "Bacterial small subunit ribosomal RNA", at positions 524 to 776 of the family's 1533-position model. The record is from RNAcentral.
UACAGAGGUCUCGAGCGUUGUUCGGAUUCAUUGGGCGUAAAGGGGGCGUAGGCGGCGCGGUAAGUCGGGUGUGAAAUCUUGGAGCUUAGCUCCGAAACUGCAUUUGAUACUGGCGUGCUUGAGGACUGGAGAGGAGACUGGAAUUCAUGGUGUAGCAGUGAAAUGCGUAGAGAUCAUGAGGAAGACCAGUGGCGAAGGCGGGUCUCUGGACAGUUCCUGACACUGAGGCACGAAGGCCAGGGGAGCAAACGGG